CCUCUCUUCUCUCUCUCGCGUCACGCAUUCCCCGCCGCGCGCACCACCACCCGCCGCAGCCGCCCGACGCGGACGGCGCGGCGGCAGGCAGGGCAGGAGGUGUCACUUCACUUGCCUUCGAAUUCGGUCGUCUCCACCCACGGCAUCGAUUGCCCACGCGCACGCGCCGCCCGCUUUGCCGUAUUCCACCGCAAGCAACCUAUAUAGGGGUGGUAGUGUUUUUGCUGCUCUGUUGCGGUUGCAGUGAGGGAGGAGGGAUGGAUCUGAAGGAUGGCGGGGGGUCGGAGAGGAGGGGAGCGGCGGGGGCG
Molecule: long non-coding RNA, 308 nt
Filed under: Oryza brachyantha (malo sina)
Lineage: Eukaryota; Viridiplantae; Streptophyta; Magnoliopsida; Poales; Poaceae
Description: long non-coding RNA (OBRA_LNC002352)
Source: RNAcentral